This 253-nucleotide ribosomal RNA is filed under the name uncultured bacterium. RNAcentral's name for it is "partial 16S ribosomal RNA". It matches the Rfam family "Bacterial small subunit ribosomal RNA", at positions 524 to 776 of the family's 1533-position model. The record is from RNAcentral.
UACGUAGGGGGCUAGCGUUGUCCGGAAUCAUUGGGCGUAAAGCGCGUGUAGGCGGUCCGGUAAGUCCGCUGUGAAAGUCGGGGGCUCAACCCUCGAAUGCCGGUGGAUACUGUCGGGCUAGAGUGCGGAAGAGGCGAGUGGAAUUCCUGGUGUAGCGGUGAAAUGCGCAGAUAUCAGGAGGAACACCGGUGGCGAAGGCGCUGCUCUGGGCCGAUACUGACGCUGAGGAGCGAAAGCGUGGGUAGCAAACAGG